Molecule: ribosomal RNA, 909 nt
Filed under: Heterocotyle capricornensis
Lineage: Eukaryota; Metazoa; Platyhelminthes; Monogenea; Monocotylidea; Monocotylidae
Description: eukaryotic LSU rRNA
Rfam family: Eukaryotic large subunit ribosomal RNA
Source: RNAcentral
GAAACUAACCAGGAUUCCCCCAGUAACGGCGAGUGAACGGGGAUUAGCCCAGCAUCGAAGCCUAUGCCUAUUUGGGUGUAAGGCAAUGUGAUGUUAUGGGGUACGCCUAGGGUCACUGAUCAACUCGAAGUCCAAUAUUGAAUGUGGCUUUGUAUUUGGCCCAAAGCGGGUGAUAGGCCCGUGCGAGUUGAUUGUUAGUCAUGUUAAGUGGCCUUUAGAUGCAUGCUCUAUGGAGUCGGAUUGCUUGAGAAUGCAGUCCAAAGUUGGUGGUAAACUCCAUCAAAGGCUAAAUACUGGCACGAGUCCGAUAGCAAACAAGUACCGUGAGGGAAAGUUGAAAAGUACUCUGAAGAGAGAGUAAAUAGCACGUGAAACCACAUACAGGUAAACUGGUGGAGUCCAGCUGCGUAUUGUGAGGACUUAGCUGGUGUGUGCACUGUGGAUAUUGUGAAUUGCUGUUGAUGGUUUGUCUUUAAUGACAAAUUGGGCAUUAGUCUCAAUUCAUGUCCGUCUUGUAGAUGGUAUGAGCUAUUUUCGGCGUCUGUUCACAUGCCAGUGUCAUUCCUUGCAAUUGACAUCACAGUCAAUAUUGCUGCUAGUGUGUGAUGGUCAAACCGUGGAGUGGUGGGCCUUGAAGUUCACUCUCUACGCGGAUGGCAGGUGGCUUGAUUAUUUGCCUUUGUGUGAAUAAUUAGGCUUAAAUUAUGGUUGCGACCAGCCGAUCAUCAUGCUGUGUAAUGUUUACAUUUAACUAUGCAGUAUAUUGGUAAUGAUAUUCAUGACUUAACAAUUCUAUUAUCAGAUUGGCUCGCGUGGAGUUAUGUGUAAAAGCGUGCUCAGCGUGUGGUAUCAGUCUGUAUAUUAGUUUUUGUACGGUUAUGUUUUCACAUAAACUGUGGUGUUAUGGUA